UGGCGGACGGGUGAGAAAUGUCUGGGAAACUGCCCGAUGGAGGGGGAUAACUACUGGAAACGGUAGCUAAUACCGCAUAACGUCGCAAGACCAAAGAGGGGGACCUUCGGGCCUCUUGCCAUCGGAUGUGCCCAGAUGGGAUUAGCUAGUAGGUGGGGUAACGGCUCACCUAGGCGACGAUCCCUAGCUGGUCUGAGAGGAUGACCAGCCACACUGGAACUGAGACACGGUCCAGACUCCUACGGGAGGCAGCAGUGGGGAAUAUUGCACAAUGGGCGCAAGCCUGAUGCAGCCAUGCCGCGUGUAUGAAGAAGGCCUUCGGGUUGUAAAGUACUUUCAGCGAGGAGGAAGGCGUUGUGGUUAAUAACCGCAACGAUUGACGUUACUCGCAGAAGAAGCACCGGCUAACUCCGUGCCAGCAGCCGCGGUAAU
Molecule: ribosomal RNA, 432 nt
Filed under: uncultured bacterium
Lineage: Bacteria
Description: bacterial SSU rRNA
Rfam family: Bacterial small subunit ribosomal RNA
Source: RNAcentral